AAAGAAACUAAAUUAAGUAGUAAACAUUUUACUUGUAUUGCAGAACUAGAACCCGUAAAAGCUUUACUGAACUAAAGUGAGCUAUGAUUAGCAUUUAGCAAGUUUAAUCAAGUUGGAUCAUUGAAGUUUUAAGAGAUGUAUAAGAUAUUUUAUUGUCUUUCGUAUAAAACAUAGUAGAGAAGCACAAAUAUAUACAAAUAUACUUGAAGAAUUAUAUAGUUAUUAUGGCUUAGAAAGCUCCAUUAUUGGCCAUUUUCAUCAUGUAACAACCAUAAUAGCUGUUAGCUCUACUUUUUGUUUUUCUCCUGUUAAAUAAUGACAGUAAGGGUAACAGCCUACAAAAUUCCUUUACACAACUGUUGUCUAAAACCCAGUCAAACUUACAAGGAAAGAUUGACACAUUAAGGAAUUUGGUGUACUUAGUACCCAGCAUGAGUUUUCAAGUUGGAUGAGUAAGCAAAACUUCCAGCCUUAGUUUUAGAUGGAAUUGGAUGGCGGAGGAAGAAGAGCUGAUGGAGGAGAGGCUGGUAAUGUGAAACUAUUCAAGUUUGAUUGUGCUAAAACCACUGUUUCUUCUGGGAAAUUAAUGGAGCAAGAAAAGAGAAUAAAGGCAUGAUUUGAAUUAUAAAAAAAUUGGAUCAUGAGAUUUAUAACUUUGACAGCCAUUGUGCUGCUGUAUGACAAACUAAACCACUUAACAGAAGACCUACUAGUGGAAAUUAGCUUGAAGAAAAAGCACUCGAAGUAGGUCUCAGCGGGUGACUGAUUAAUGAGACUGUUGUAGGAGGUGAAAAUGAUAAAUUUGUCGUAAUUUAGAUUGUGAUAUAU
RNAcentral lists this unclassified non-coding RNA (828 nucleotides) under Hevea brasiliensis (rubber tree). Lineage: Eukaryota; Viridiplantae; Streptophyta; Magnoliopsida; Malpighiales; Euphorbiaceae. The record is from RNAcentral.